Molecule: transfer RNA, 76 nt
Filed under: Candidatus Berkelbacteria bacterium
Lineage: Bacteria; Candidatus Berkelbacteria
Description: tRNA-Asn
Rfam family: tRNA
About the family: Transfer RNA (tRNA) molecules are approximately 80 nucleotides in length.
Source: RNAcentral
UCCGGAGUAGCUCAAUUGGCAGAGCAACUGGCUGUUAACCAGUGGGUUGUCGGUUCGAGUCCGACCUCCGGAGCCA